RNAcentral lists this ribosomal RNA (424 nucleotides) under uncultured prokaryote. RNAcentral describes it as "bacterial SSU rRNA". It matches the Rfam family "Bacterial small subunit ribosomal RNA", at positions 355 to 796 of the family's 1533-position model. The record is from RNAcentral.
UGGGGAAUCUUGGACAAUGGGCGCAAGCCUGAUCCAGCCAUGCCGCGUGGGUGAAGAAGGCCUUAGGGUUGUAAAGCCCUUUCAGUCGUGACGAUGAUGACGGUAGCGACAGAAGAAGCCCCGGCUAACUCCGUGCCAGCAGCCGCGGUAAUACGGAGGGGGCAAGCGUUGUUCGGAAGUACUGGGCGUAAAGCGCGCGUAGGCGGGCUGUUAAGUCGGGGGUGAAAUCCCGGGGCUCAACCCCGGAACUGCCUUCGAUACUGGCAGCCUAGAGGUCGGUAGAGGCUAGUGGAAUGGCGAGUGUAGAGGUGAAAUUCGUAGAUAUUCGCCGGAACACCAGUGGCGAAGGCGACUGGCUGGACCGUAUCUGACGCUGAGGUGCGAAAGCGUGGGGAGCAAACAGGAUUAGAUACCCCUGUAGUCC